This 2885-nucleotide long non-coding RNA is filed under the name Brachypodium distachyon (stiff brome). RNAcentral's name for it is "long non-coding RNA (BDIS_LNC003977)". Lineage: Eukaryota; Viridiplantae; Streptophyta; Magnoliopsida; Poales; Poaceae. The record is from RNAcentral.
UCUUGAAUUCGUGUUUGAGAAUAACAUAGAAUCUAUUGUACAUAAAUGAUCAAAUUUAAAUCUAAUGAUCAAAGUUAAAUCUCAAAACACACAUGUAUGUAUCUUAUUUUAGAACGGAGAGAAUAUGCUAAAAAAGUUAGUAAUACAAGUCGUCAGAUAGUUGUCUGAGGUGAACCGCCGAAUUGUACCCAGCAGCUCGGGAAACCGCCGAAUUGUACCGGGCGGUGGCUCGCCUGAUCACCAAACAGCUGCGCCUGAAGAUAGCGUCACAUGGUCAAAAGAAACGGCCGUUCAUUACUCCUUAAUUAAUCCAGAAAAUCAAAAUCAAAUCCAGGAAAAGAAACUCCAUUGCCACCGUCUCGUCGUCGUCGUCGCUCGGCCCACGCGCUCCGACCAAGCCCCAGCCCUGCCCGUUAAUGGUGGGCGGGCUGCGAGAUCUACUAGGGCUCGUGGGCUUCGCCGGCGGGAGGAGAUAGAUGGACGCCCAGAACGGCGGCACGCUGACGCCGGUGUUGCUCAACGUGUACGACCUGACGCCCGUCAACGAUUACCUCUACUGGCUCGGCUUCGGCGUCUUCCACUCCGGAAUCGAAGGUAUUGGUUCGUUCUUUGCUUUUCCCCUUUGUUCUGUUCUUAGGGCGGAGUCUUCCAUGCCCGUGGUAUUCUACCCCUGGUUUGGGUAAACUGAUGGAUUCGAUUACAGACGAUAAGCAAUUGGUUGUGGUUCCGAUUUUUGAACAAUUGCCUUUGCUGUUUUAGCGUCAAUUUAAUGUUCUGGAGUUUUCCGACUAUGAAUAGAAUGUUUUGGUUACUUCAAUCGUGCGAUAAUGAGUUCUGCAGGACGAUCCAAAAUUUCCCUGCCAUGUCUGAUGAUCUGAUCAAUGGUCCAGGAAAUAAUGGGGGAAAGGGGAAACAAAUAUUAAGGAACAAUGUAUUGUCUUGUGAAUUCAUAAUAUUGUUGUUAGUAGGUUCUUUGUAAAUCCAGAGGACAAAACUUUCAGAAGUUCAAUUUGCCAGGCACUAAAAUUAGUCAAGACUUGAGACUUGCUUGCAGGCUUAUUUCAUCUGCAUUACUACAAAUCAAGCACUGCUGUGUUGAACAUUUCACUUAUGUUUGCUAUGGUCGUAUUUUCCUUUUCAAAAUCUUCAUGUCAUGGUUUCUUUUAUACCAUCUAGCUCAUCUACAAAAGCUUGAAUUCAAGAUUUCUUUUACCAAUUUCUAUUUCUCAAAUGAGCAGUUCAUGGCAUGGAAUAUGGAUUUGGAGCUCAUGAUUUCUCAUCAAGUGGUGUAUUUGAGGUGGAAUCAAAAAGUUGCCCUGGAUUUAUCUAUAGAAAAACGCUGUGGCUAGGCACAACUGACAUGUCCCGGGAAGAGUUCCGCUCGUUCAUUGAAAAACUUGCAGGGAAGUAUCAUGGCAACACAUAUCAUUUGAUUUCAAAGAACUGCAAUCAUUUCACAGAUGAUGUCUGUAAGAACUUGACUGGGAAGCCCAUCCCUGGCUGGGUGAAUCGGCUGGCCAGAGUAGGUUGGUAUCAUUGUAUGUUUUGCUUCCUGAGUUGGUGAAAAACAUAGCUGAUUGGUUACUUUUUCUCUCUCAAACUCUAGGUUCGGUUUUUGACUGUCUACUGCCAGAAAGUGUCCAAGUUUCUCCCAUCGGACGUGUCCCAACUCUUCGUCCAGUUGUUGGUCGGUAUCUUUCUAUAUUUUCUACCAUUACCUUUCAAAGGAAACUUAUCUGUUGUCUCUUUCUGUUAGUGUUAUUUCUUGUGAAAUUCUGUCGGGCUAAGAAUGAAAUUUUGUAUAGUUUGCAUUCCUUUUAGAAAAUGGGCUUCACCAUUUUAGUUGAUUAAGAUGUGAUUGUUUUCCUUGUCGUUCCUUUGAGGUUAGAAAUUUUACUCUAUCUUACAUGGUAGUCAAAAAUAUUCACAACUUUGUUUGUGUACCCUUUCAGUUUGAACAAUUAGUGUCACCAUCUAAAAACUGGUAUACACACUGGUAAUUUGCACAUAAUUAAGCUAUUAGUAGUUAAUAGCAAUUAAUUGUCUUAUUGAAAAAUCAUACCGGGCUAGCACUUACGACAGUAUCUUGGACUAAUGCUUUGAAAAAAUCCAUUGUUAUAUCUGAAAUGAAUUAUCUUGAGAGAAAGCUUUGCAACACAUGAGAACACACAUGGCGUUCAACGUUUUGUAUAUAUAACUCAUGCAUCAUUUAAAUUCUUUCAAGUUUUGUGUAGCUAUAACCUAUAGGAAAUUUGAUUAAAAGUGAGACAAGUUCUGUUGGUUUUCAUGCUCAACCGAGCAAAACAAAGAUAUGCUAUUAGUUUUCAUCAAAUCAAUCAAAGAUAUUCUAGUAGGUUUCAUCAAACCAAUCAUAUAUUCCUGACACAAGAAAGUCUGGGCUGCCAGAAAGGUGGCUAUAGGGCGGUUAGAUGAAGAAAAUGUAGUAGUGGAGGAAGCGUUCAAAGCUAUCGGAAGUCUGUUGUGUAACAUUGUCUAGAAAAAAAUGAUGCGCAAUCAGAAACUAUAAUAUUACAUGAUUUAAGAGCUCUUUUAUUGUCUACUCUCCUUCUCUUGGUAUAUUCAACUGCAGUAGAGUAAUCACCCGUUUAAGUUACCCUUGUGAACAACCGCAUUUUUAGGGCCUGUAAACAAUGGAGGGAUUGUAAAUACUAUGUCCUCUUAUAGUUCUGUUAGUUCUUUGCAAUCUUAUUGACCAUCCUCAUUAUUUCCUCUAAAAUAUUAUCCAGAUGAUGAUUUGGAUUCAGUAUCAUCGUCAGACAGCGAUGAGGACAAGCACCUGUUGCCAGCGCCGUCUGCUGACUUGCACCCUGUAGAUGUGCCAGUAAAGCUAGCCAAAGAUCUUCUUUGAGAGCACCUGGGAGCUU